GCUACAAUAGAUUGAUGGUAUUCUCUUCUAUCACAAACGAGCACAUUACCACCCAGGAAACACGCCUUUGGUCGGUUGGCUUAAAGUGUACAUGAUUCCUGAAAUAAUAGGCAUGGAUGUUCCCGACAAUUACUUGCAAAAUGUCCCCAAAGUUCAUAAAUUAACAUUGGAAAAAGAGAAUGAAAAGUUUCGGGAGAAAGGGAUGAAAGGAGGUGAGAUGGAAAUAGAUAAAGAAAGAAAAAAGCGAAGGCAAAAAAAUACGAAAAGCAGGGACAUGGUUGUAGAUGAAUCUGGCUCUACAGAAGGUGGUAAUGAAGAAGAGAUGGAAUAAAAGAAUUCUGUGAUAUGGUGUUUACUGCGGUAGGAUAAAUUUGUUACACUGUGAGUGUCAAGUCUAUUAUCCUCGGUCUCAUCAAAUAGCGAUUAUGAUUUCAUGUCCUGCACAUACUAAAUAUGCAAAUAAAGACAGGAAUAACAUUGACUAAACAACACUGAUCCCUAACCGCUACUAGAGUCUUUAAUUAAACAGGUUCAGGUAGGUUUAGUGGGUCAGGCAUUUUCAUCCAAGUUGGUAUGCGUGUUUAUGCGUGUCUGUCAGCAUGAUAUUUUAAAAAAUAUCAAACGUAUUAAUCAAAAUUUGUGUGACUAAUGGACAUUGCCCAAGGUCAAAUUGAUUAAAUUUUGGUCAAAUGUGGGGAAAAUUAGAUGAAAGAUUAGCAAACGUUCGUCUUGCUUUGCAGAGUGAACUGAAUGCAUAAUGGUAUAAUAUGAGUAUACAAUGGUAUAAUCUAUGCAUGCAGGGGCGUAGGAACUUGGGGGGCAGGAGGAGCCAGCCCCCUCCCCAAGUUUUGCCAAGUGCCAUUUUUCUGGGAGCAAAGUGCCCUUUUCUUGCGUGAAAAAUUGUCAUUAAGAUUGCAUUUUUUUUGCC
Molecule: non-coding RNA, 928 nt
Organism: Paramuricea clavata
Lineage: Eukaryota; Metazoa; Cnidaria; Anthozoa; Malacalcyonacea; Plexauridae
Source: the annotation of a GenBank genome assembly